RNAcentral lists this ribosomal RNA (253 nucleotides) under uncultured bacterium. RNAcentral's name for it is "partial 16S ribosomal RNA". It matches the Rfam family "Bacterial small subunit ribosomal RNA", at positions 524 to 776 of the family's 1533-position model. The record is from RNAcentral.
UACGGGGGGGGCAAGCGUUGUUCGGAAUUACUGGGCGUAAAGGGCUCGUAGGUGGCCAACUAAGUCGGACGUGAAAUCCCUCGGCUUAACCGGGGAACUGCGUCUGAUACUGGAUGGCUUGAGUUCGGGAGAGGGAUGCGGAAUUCCAGGUGUAGCGGUGAAAUGCGUAGAUAUCUGGAGGAACACCGGUGGCGAAGGCGGGUCUCUGGGCCUUACCUGACGCUGAGGAGCAAAAGCGUGGGGAGCGAACAGG